GGAAAGAUAGUUAAUCAUCAUAACAAUUAACUUGCAAUUAAUAGUAGUUGCUCAAUCCCAACCCUUUCCA
RNAcentral lists this transfer RNA (70 nucleotides) under Charinus carajas. RNAcentral describes it as "tRNA-Ala". It matches the Rfam family "tRNA". From Rfam's summary of the family: Transfer RNA (tRNA) molecules are approximately 80 nucleotides in length. Their secondary structure includes four short double-helical elements and three loops (D, anti-codon, and T loops). Further hydrogen bonds mediate the characteristic L-shaped molecular structure. tRNAs have two regions of fundamental functional importance: the anti-codon, which is responsible for specific mRNA codon recognition, and the 3' end, to which the tRNAs corresponding amino acid is attached (by aminoacyl-tRNA synthetases). tRNAs cope with the degeneracy of the genetic code in two manners: having more than one tRNA (with a specific anti-codon) for a particular amino acid; and 'wobble' base-pairing, i.e. permitting non-standard base-pairing at the 3rd anti-codon position. Lineage: Eukaryota; Metazoa; Arthropoda; Arachnida; Amblypygi; Charinidae. The record is from RNAcentral.